GGGACACACUAAAAAGGAUGGGGUGUUAUUAUAAAUGAGACGAAGAGAGUAUUUCAUACUCACUCUGUCCCAGCGAAGUUGAGACAUUUUUUUGAGCACAAUAUUUAAGGAGCUAGUGUUCAGUGAAAAAGUGAAAUGAAAAAAAUAAAAUAAAGAGUUAAGUAUUAAAUUCACCACUAACAUAGAGGCCUCUAUCACGUAUAGAUCUCUAUACUCGACUUUGGUUCAACUAAACCCCCGAAGUCGUUAAUUUGGUGCAAUUACCCCAUCUGCCCAAACGGCUGUUUAACACCGUUAAGUAUUUUAACUUUUUUUUAUUUCAUCGGUGGUGGGACCCACGCUUUCUUCUUCUUCUUCACCAAACUCGCCAGAAACACGCUGAAAACACAUGUUGAAUCUUGAAAUUGCCGGAAACAAGGAAAUGCUCGAUCACCUUCGACUGAUCGCCCACUUUGUGGCAGUAGAUUUCGAGCUUAUUUGAGCUUCUUCUCAAGCUCGGUCAUGGAGUGCUUGAGCUUCGAAGCCUCAAGAACAGCCUCGUCGCGGCGCCAACUCGCUUGGAUCAAGUUGUUGGAGAGCUCCACCACCACGAUCUUCCAGUGCUCCUCCGGGAAAAAUUUUGAAAAAAGAAAAAAAAUUAAAAUCGAGCAAAAACCCAGAUUUACUACCUUUUCUAAUCUUAUGAUUUUUCGAUGCUCUCUCCCAAUUGAUUGUUGAAAUCCAACAUCAUAGCUCCUGCAGAAAUCAAUAUAUUUUUAUCUCUCAAAUCCCACUGCAGCUCUCAUGAAUCAAAACCCCAAAUUUCCCAAAGAUCCAGAUCCCUCGAUUUCGUUGGUGGUUUGAACGGAAAAUCCCAC
RNAcentral lists this long non-coding RNA (857 nucleotides) under Salvia miltiorrhiza (redroot sage). RNAcentral describes it as "long non-coding RNA (SMIL_LNC008983)". Lineage: Eukaryota; Viridiplantae; Streptophyta; Magnoliopsida; Lamiales; Lamiaceae. The record is from RNAcentral.